Molecule: long non-coding RNA, 3189 nt
Organism: Passer domesticus (house sparrow)
Lineage: Eukaryota; Metazoa; Chordata; Aves; Passeriformes; Passeridae
Exons: 4
Source: RefSeq, a predicted model, not a curated record
UCUACAAAGGGGUUAAAAUCUUCACUUCUGCCUGUCCAGGACUCCCACAGCUGCCGCAUCCCCCGCUUCUGGCCGGCUGAGUUGCCAGCACAGUUUCUGUCUCUCUCUCCGGGGGGGGGUGCCCAGACAUCUCAAUUCUCAUCAACCCCUGCAUGUUCUCUUCCACCUCUGCACCUUUUGGGGCCCUGGCUUCCUCCCUGUCAUGGCCUCCCCCUCCCCCACGCAGACGCAGCUGGGCAGGGGAGAGGUCAGAUCUCACUCACCAAUGCCGGAUUCCCAAAGAGGAAGUUCUCUGGGAAUCUCCUGCUUUUAACCCCCGUGUGUUCUCAGAGGCGUAUCCAGAUCCUCAAUGGCCACAUCACAUGCCAAUUUUGAAUUUGGCCACUGAUUGUCCCGACUUAGACCUUUCCAGAAACACAUUUCCAGGCCAAACCACGACACACACAUUCAGCUUGCGAGCUUAUACUAAUUGAUACUAAAUGAUGUCCAAUAAUUCUAAUAAAUAUGAAGUUAGACAAGAAGCAGGUGGCAUGUGUGGAUUAACAAGGAGCUCCUCAUCAAUCUCAAGCAGAAGGUGAGCUGAGACAUCUCAUUUUGGGCUUUAAGGGAUUGUCACUGAGCGUCAGUCACUGCAGCAUCUGAACAAACAGCAAGAAGAGAAAAGGAUUCAUUCAGCUGCAGCACAUGAAAAAGAAUUAUGUUUUUUCAACAAUCUGUUUUGAUGCAAGUCCAGCAUUAAAGCAUUAAAGGAUUUAUAAGAAUUUAUCCUUCUGCUUAUAAUUUUUGUCUUCCAUAAAAACAUAGGAGGGAGGUGUUUUUUCACGAUUUGAAGGAGGAGGCAAAAUUACAUUUGUUAAGAAAUAUUUGGAAGCAACUUACUUCAGCCAGCUAAGUCAUGGAAGUGCUCUUAACUACAUGCUGCUUCUGCCACCUUUGAAGUUUUGACUUCUUCUGUGAUAAAUGAAAAGGGCAACAGUCUUGUGGAAAAUCUGAUUUUGAGCUGCAAUGCAGGAUGUGUUUCACAUGGGACCUGCUAGAAGAUUGGGAAUUGAACUUCUAGCAGUAUCUUGGGAGUUUCUAUCACAAAGGACUGAAAAGAAAAAAGAACUUUUCCUAAACACAUCUAGGUGGCUUACAGUUUGCCACAAUAUUGAUUCUGAAACACAUUAAAUUUUUAUUUAUCUACUUGAGGGAGUGAAAUUCCACAGGGGUUUAAGAUUUGUGCUGAUUCAGAUGGCUUUUCUCCACAUCAGAGGCUUUUUGGAAGUACAGUAAUACAAAAAUGAAAGAUUUUCUGGCUAGAUUGACACCCACAUGAGAUACUGAAUUCAGUGAGAAAAUGCUUACAUGUUGAUUUCUCCAGUGAAAAGCUGUAGGUCUUAUAUUUUUAUAUUAAGCUUCCUUUGCAGUUCAGUUAUGUGAACAUUAAAGGCCUGUUUUUUUCCUUGUCGUCCAGUUAAUUUUUAUAUAAAUGUGAGUACCCAAGUGAUUAAAUGUAUAAAAAAAUAUGUGUACAUCCUAUCUGUUUAGAGGUACAACUGACAAAGAAGUCUAAAGGAUAAUUUUGUCUUCAUGUUUAUUCAGACUACUGUGACCUCAGUUUCCCCUUCAAUAUGAACAAAUUUUCUAGAAAGCAAUGUGCAGGUAAGAAUUAUGAACUGUCUGGGGGAAAAAAGUCUCGGGGUUUUCUCUGGUCGAGAUGAACCUGAGUUUUUUUUCCCCAACCCAGCUGUCUGAGAAGUAAUCAGAAGUCUUUGGCUGUCGUUCUCAAGGUUGUUUAUUAUUUCUUAUCUAAAAUAUUUUCUGUCUGGCCUGCCAAGGUCUGUUCUGCAGGUCGGGCUGAGGCACACUGCCUGCCCCUGAGUUGGUGUUGUCUUCUAUACUACAAACUAUGUAUUCAAUAUUUACAGUUAUUUCCCAAUACCUAUCACCUAUGUUAGACAGUGACUUUCUACUCUACACCAGAGUGCCACCAUCACCAAGAAGAUGGAGGCUAGGAAGAAGAAGGAAGAAGGACAGCACAAUGCCCAAAUCCCUCCAUCUUGUUCCCCUAGACCCCCAUAGUCAAAUUCUUCAAAAUUCUACCUUUCACCCUGUGGCAACUACUAUUGUGCUACUUAAACUUUUGUGACUUGUAAUUCUUCAUAUAGAGUUGGUAAUUUGCUCCAUGGGUUAAGAUCAAAAUCCCAUGUGUCUUUGGCUUCCUGCCAGGGUCUCCAAGCCCCUGCCAGGAUUUUGAGCCAUCCAGGGCAUCCAGACGGAUGUUUUGGGUUCUGACAAAAAAGAAACUCUUAAUUAAUAUUUUUGAAGUAUAUUGAUGUAUAUUUUAUUAGUGUGGGACAGAAAGUUAACACGGUGCCAAUAGCUGACUAUUUGUUCUGCAUUCUUUUUUAUACCUAUUCAUCUUUUUAAAAGGAAAGGUAUUGUUUGGAUAUAUGUAACCACUUCAGACAUCUAAAAGACUCCUCUAGAAUAAUAUUCAUGUUUGUGAUUAUUGUGUGUAAUAGAAUGAGUCAGUGCAGACCUUUUGGAAUUGCUAGAGUAGAAGUAAUCAAGAUUAUUAACUUGAAAGACUGCAAAAGAACAUGGAAGUAGCAAAACCUAUUUGGCAGUGAGAGUUUAAAGUGAGCUUCUGCACUUUUCCAUGUGUUGCUAAUGACAGUGAGGUCUUGUCUGUAAGAUGAAAUUUGUGCAUAGUUUCAUCUCAUACUGACACCUAGAAUAUGCCACAUAAGGGAAGAUUUGUUAUAAUUGUCAUUUCUUCUUAGGAUGUCUGUUUCAAGUUUACUGAUGAAGGUUUCGUAUUACAUUCUAGUUACUUCUUCUGAUCAGAUUCUGACAAAAGAAAUAUCCUGAUAUACCUUUUAUUUAAACUUUAUAGAUGACAUGACUUUUUUUUCCCCUGUACUUCCUUAUAAUAAAUGUCUUCAUGUCCCUGAACUAAUCUUAUUUCUUAGACAGAAUGCUUAAAAUAGACACUAAUUCCAAGCCAAAGUUGUUAUAUCUCAGCCAGUGAAAAGAAUAAUCCUUGUACAUCUGUACAUGUACAUUAUGAUUUGAACAAGGUAGUAAAUGUCAUCAAAGUGUAUUUAGUAGAAAACUGGUAAGCAGCUUAAACUGCAAAUGCCAGCUGAAUGUUAGCAUUAUUAGUAGGAAAUUGAGCAUUUUUCAAUUAUUGAAAUUAUUGAA